This is a long non-coding RNA of Gasterosteus aculeatus aculeatus (three-spined stickleback), 1437 nucleotides long. The record is from Ensembl. NCBI's taxonomy places the organism in Eukaryota, Metazoa, Chordata, Actinopteri, Perciformes, Gasterosteidae.
CCCCCCCCCCACCCUCACUCUCCAAAGACAAAACCUGAAAGAUGUCGUUAUACGCCCACCAGCAUCUUGUUGUCCUGUGCCGUUUGGAGACUUGUGCAUCAAAGGCAAAAAAAAGAAAAAAAACUUUUCCAGAUAAAAUUCUUUCCUUGACGCUGGGAAGUUAAAAGAUUUAUAUGAAAAAAAAGAAAUGAUUAUUCUAAGUUUUUUGUUUCUAUGAGGAAACGGGGUAAAAGCGGACGAGGGACACUAGUUCGGUGUUGCUGCUUUUGUCUUUGUUUGCAUGAGUAGCACAUGUUAAUACAUUUUAAUCGAGCCUUAGGUUUAAAUUCUUUUGCUUUUUUCUUUCCAAAUCCCUACCAAGUCUCAGUAAUCUCGGCCACGUUUCUGAUCGCUUUGGACUACUCGAGUUAUUUAAGGAAGUGAAAUAUUAUUCCGUGUGAAUAUGAAUAGAGAAACUACAAUUUUUCCUUUUGUUUUUUUGGCUUUUCUCUUGUUUUCUUUUGGCGACUGUAGACCUGUUUGCAGGUCGUGAUGACGCUUCACUUAAAGACAGUUCAGGGUUCUGUUUUUCUUCUUCUUCACUUCUCUGGACGCCAGAGGGCAACAUUUGUCCUCCCGCCGGCCUUUUUCCUUUCAGCGGCAUUGAGCAGUUUUAUUCCAUUUGAGCAGAGAUCGUCUGAAGAAACACUUUUGGACUCUUUAAAAAAAAAAAGCCACAGAAAACAUCCUUACCCACUACAUUAGUGCGAAACUUCUGUUGAAUAUGGGGGCUUUUCUCACGUGGCUCCACCGGGUAUGAAUGUGUUAAGGAACCCGUCUGUACGCCUGAUGAUGAUGAUGAUGGAGGAACCCUUUUUUUUUCAUUCCCUCCUCGUUCCAUUUGAGCGGUUUCUGAAUUGACCGGACCAGCUGGGUCUCCUCUUCCUCUCUCCUUCCUCUUCAUCCACAAGUGAUCCUCAUUUCUGAAAUCAGUGUUUUCGUUUUUUGUUUUUUUUUCUACCAGUGUAUUUACCAGUGACGAGGGGAAUCGGGGGGGGGCGUCGUAUUGGAUCUGACUGGGAGUCCUGAGGAGAUGAAACACGGCCAGUGAUCUUUUUGGGGGUUUUGUUGAGUUUAAGUGAUUUGUCCACGAGAGGGACGCAUCUCCUGGAUGCGAUGCUUUUGUCUGCCAUGUCUGCAUCUAAUCCCGCGCUGUCCGGUCAAUUCGGGACAUCGGGACUCCCAGGUUGUGUGAAUGUUUGUGUGCUUGUGCAGUUGUUGUGCGUCUGAGGGCGAGACAGGGUUUCAAACUGAGGGAAAGACCUCACGCGUCCGGGCAAAGGAAGAUUUAACUUGAAAUUGCCAGUGUAUAGAAAUCGAUUUCAUUAUUUCUCUCUCUGUAUCUUUGUUUUGUUUGUUUUUUGACUUGGAAAAACAUGAAUAAAAGUUUUACUACAC